This 231-nucleotide ribosomal RNA is filed under the name uncultured Staphylococcus sp. RNAcentral's name for it is "partial 16S ribosomal RNA". It matches the Rfam family "Bacterial small subunit ribosomal RNA", at positions 109 to 334 of the family's 1533-position model. Lineage: Bacteria; Bacillati; Bacillota; Bacilli; Caryophanales; Staphylococcaceae. The record is from RNAcentral.
AGUAACACGUGGAUAACCUACCUAUAAGACUGGGAUAACUUCGGGAAACCGUAGCUAAUACCGGAUAAUAUUUUGAACCGCAUGGUUCAAAAGUGAAAGACGGUCUUGCUGUCACUUAUAGAUGGAUCCGCGCUGCAUUAGCUAGUUGGUAAGGUAACGGCUUACCAAGGCAACGAUGCAUAGCCGACCUGAGAGUGUGAUCGGCCACACUGGAACUGAGACACGGUCCAG